GACGAACGCUGGCGGCGUGCCUAAUACAUGCAAGUUGAGCGCUGAAGGUUGGUACUUGUACCAACUGGAUGAGCAGCGAACGGGUGAGUAACGCGUGGUGAAUCUGCCUUUGAGCGGGGGACAACAUUUGGAAACGAAUGCUAAUACCGCAUAAAAACUUUAAACACAAGUUUUAAGUUUGAAAGAUGCAAUUGCAUCACUCAAAGAUGAUCCCGCGUUGUAUUAGCUAGUUGGUGAGGUAAAGGCUCACCAAGGCGAUGAUACAUAGCCGACCUGAGAGGGUGAUCGGCCACAUUGGGACUGAGACACGGCCCAAACUCCUACGGGAGGCAGCAGUAGGGAAUCUUCGGCAAUAGACGAAAGCCUGACCGAGCAACGCCGCGUGAGUGAAGAAGGUUUUCGGAUCGUAAAACUCUGUUGGUAGAGAAGAACGUUGGUGAGAGUGGAAAGCUCAUCAAGUGACGGUAACUACCCAGAAAGGGACGGCUAACUACGUG
RNAcentral lists this ribosomal RNA (497 nucleotides) under uncultured bacterium. Its description in RNAcentral is "partial 16S ribosomal RNA". It matches the Rfam family "Bacterial small subunit ribosomal RNA", at positions 28 to 507 of the family's 1533-position model. The record is from RNAcentral.